GUGUCAGCCGCCGCGGUAAUACGUAGGGUGCGAGCGUUAAUCGGAAUUACUGGGCGUAAAGUGUGCGCAGGCGGCCGCGCAAGUCGAGUGUGAAAGCCCCGGGCUUAACUUGGGAAUUGCGCUCGAAACUACGUGGCUGGAGUGUGGCAGAGGAAGGUGGAAUUCCAGGUGUAGCGGUGAAAUGCGUAGAGAUCUGGAGGAACACCGAUGGCGAAGGCAGCCUUCUGGGCCAACACUGACGCUCAUGCACGAAAGCGUGGGGAGCAAACAGGAUUAGAAACCCUGGUAGUCC
This 292-nucleotide ribosomal RNA is filed under the name uncultured bacterium. RNAcentral describes it as "partial 16S ribosomal RNA". It matches the Rfam family "Bacterial small subunit ribosomal RNA", at positions 505 to 796 of the family's 1533-position model. The record is from RNAcentral.